RNAcentral lists this transfer RNA (82 nucleotides) under Haematococcus lacustris. RNAcentral describes it as "Haematococcus pluvialis tRNA". It matches the Rfam family "tRNA". From Rfam's summary of the family: Transfer RNA (tRNA) molecules are approximately 80 nucleotides in length. The record is from Rfam by way of RNAcentral. Lineage: Eukaryota; Viridiplantae; Chlorophyta; Chlorophyceae; Chlamydomonadales; Haematococcaceae.
GCCGGUGUAGCUCAGGGGUAGAGCGCUUGACUUGUAUCAUGAGGUUAUCAAGCGGUCCGUGGUUCAAUUCCGCGCGUCGGCA